Molecule: ribosomal RNA, 421 nt
Filed under: uncultured Adhaeribacter sp.
Lineage: Bacteria; Pseudomonadati; Bacteroidota; Cytophagia; Cytophagales; Hymenobacteraceae
Description: bacterial SSU rRNA
Rfam family: Bacterial small subunit ribosomal RNA
Source: RNAcentral
UAGGGAAUAUUGGGCAAUGGACGGAAGUCUGACCCAGCCAUGCCGCGUGCAGGAUGAAGGCCUUCUGGGUUGUAAACUGCUUUUAUCUGGGAAGAAAACACCUAUGCGUAGGAAACUGACGGUACCAGAUGAAUAAGCACCGGCUAACUCCGUGCCAGCAGCCGCGGUAAUACGGAGGGUGCAAGCGUUGUCCGGAUUUAUUGGGUUUAAAGGGUGCGUAGGCGGCCCGUUAAGUCCGUGGUGAAAGCCUCCAGCUCAACUGGAGAACUGCCAUGGAUACUGGCGGGCUUGAGUACAGACGAGGUUGGCGGAAUUGAUAGUGUAGCGGUGAAAUGCAUAGAUACUAUCAAGAACUCCGAUUGCGUAGGCAGCUAACUAGGCUGUAACUGACGCUGAGGCACGAAAGCGUGGGGAGCGAACA